AGCUGGCUGGUUCCAUGAAGUGACUUCUGCCCAGUGCUCUGAUUGUCAAUCCGAAGAGAUUCAGGCAAGCGCGGGUAAACGGCGGGAGUAACUAUGACUCUCUUAAGGUAGCCAAAUGCCUCGUCAACCAAUUAUUGACGCGCAUGAAUGGAUCAACGAGAUUCCUGCUGUCCCUAGUCGCUGUCUGGUGAACCAACAACCAAGGGAACGGGCUUGGAUGUGUCAGCGGGGAAAGAAGACCCUGUUGAGUUUGACUCUAGUUUGAUGCUGUGCAACGACAUGGGGGGUGUAGCACAGGUGGGAGGCAAGUGCCAUUCCACUGCUGCAUUGGGGGAGCCUCUGAACCAGCCCCCCACUGAGUCUCUGUGGUCACCCCUGCGCCCUGUCCUGGAGGGGAGGACCCAGCUCAGCCCAGUGUGCAAGGAGCGCCUUGGUCCCAGCCCUGACCAGAGGGCCCACUGACCCUGGGCCCUGGCCAUCCAGUGUGGAUCCCAAGCAGUGCACCCUUUUGCCAUGCCUGUGAAAUAGAGUGCCAAUGGUGCAAGCCAACAGUGAAAUACCACUACCUUCACCGUCGUUUUACUCAUUGAGUUGUCUGGGAACGGUGGCCACCUUAUGGCUGAUGCAUGUUUACAUGUGUCUUGGCCUGACCGCUUCGUGCACCAAGUGUGGGUUCUUCCCACACAACCCUGGAUGCCACAAUCCCAAAUCAGAAGCCUCAGGACACUGAUCAGUUGGGGAGUUUGGCUGGGGCGGCACGCCUGUUACAUCACAACGCAGGCGUCCUGAAGCAUUGCUCAGAUGGAACAGAAAUCCCUCACUGAGGAGAAGGCCAAAGGUGCUGCUGAUGCUGUGACCUUCAGUACAGGUCCAAAACGUGCAAGUGUGGCCUAGCGAUCCUUUGGUCAAGUAUGCGGGUUUGGGAUAUCAAAGCCAGAGGUGUCAGAAAAAUUACCACAGGGAUAACUGGCUUGUGGCAGCCAAGCGUUCAAAGCGACGUUGCUUUUUGAUCCUUCGAUGUCGGCUCUUCCUAGCUUCCCACUCGCAGCAGGGUGGAAGAGUUGGAUUGUUCACCCACCAAC
RNAcentral lists this ribosomal RNA (1082 nucleotides) under Euglena pseudostellata. RNAcentral describes it as "partial large subunit ribosomal RNA". It matches the Rfam family "Eukaryotic large subunit ribosomal RNA", at positions 2172 to 2944 of the family's 3401-position model. Lineage: Eukaryota; Euglenozoa; Euglenophyceae; Euglenales; Euglenaceae. The record is from RNAcentral.